GGCAGUUAGCUGGGUUGGAAAGAUUUCAUCUCUCCUUCUAUGCAAAGAACAGAAUUGUUACUUAGCUGAGUGAUCAUAUGUAGGAAUCACCAGAGUUGGUUGGCUCUCUCAGUGGGGUUUAAAGUACAGUGUAAAUAGGGUAAACUCUUCAUUGUGGCAUCUAUAAAGCCAUUUACAUUCAGACAGCAAGUGAAGCAAAGCAAAUAAACUCUACUCUGGCUGGGAAUAAUUCUGCCCUGAUGAGGAAUCAGCUGGCUGGAGGAAUUUUGGAAGGGGUGAGGCAUACACUUUCUUCUAUGUUCCUGAAACCACAACAUUGUUAGGACUCAUCUGUUCAUGAGACCAGACCAAUAGAAAAUGAGCACUUCGUGGAUAAAAAAUACAGAUGGAAACUUAGUGGCUUGCACCAAAACAUCAGAUCUUCCUGGGUCUUGAGAUAGCUAGUUUUCAGACUGCAACUACACCAUCAUCUCUCCUGGUUCUCAGACCUUCAGACUUAGACUGAAACUUACAUAAUCAGCUCUCCUGGUCUCCAGCUUGCUGACAGCAGACUUUAGGACUUGUUAGACUCCACAGUGAAAGAUCACUCUGACUGCUACAUGGAAAAUGUGCUGGGGAGAAACAAGACUGCAGGAAAUAAGAGCAGUGAACAAGCUCUUGCUGUAAUUCAAGUCAGGUGUAGAAGCUGGAGCUGGAGCAGCCAUUCUGAACUAUGUCGAAAAUCUACCUGGAAAUAAAAAGUUGACUCACCGAUUCACACCAUUUCCAUUUGUCUUGGUCUGGCUUUGGUGUCGGGGCAUUUCCAGUCUCAUAAAAUGACUUUAUAUGACAACUACCUCUUCCAGUCUUGUCAAACUAGACUCGUGUAGAAGAAAGAGCUCACUAAUCUGUCCGGCCAGAGAUUUUAAGGCGUAACACAUGGAAACUAAUGGUGUUCUACAAUUGCUGAAGCAAGUGUAACACUAAAGGUUGCAUUAUUUUUUGGGAAGAUUGGAUGUGCCCUCCCAAAUACCCCUUAGAAAUUGCUGGUGUGAAAUUUUCAUGUGAACAAUUUCUGAAUAAAAUUUAUUAUGAAUUCUCAGUUAGAC
RNAcentral lists this long non-coding RNA (1088 nucleotides) under Homo sapiens (human). RNAcentral describes it as "HSALNT0093985". The record is from RNAcentral. Lineage: Eukaryota; Metazoa; Chordata; Mammalia; Primates; Hominidae.